GGACGGGUGAGUAACGCGUGAGGAACCUGCCUCAAAGAGGGGACAACAGUUGGAAACGACUGCUAAUACCGCAUAAGCCCACGGGUCGGCAUCGACCAGAGGGAAAAGGAGCAAUCCGCUUUGAGAUGGCCUCGCGUCCGAUUAGCUAGUUGGUGAGGUAAUGGCCCACCAAGGCAACGAUCGGUAGCCGGACUGAGAGGUUGAACGGCCACAUUGGGACUGAGACACGGCCCAGACUCCUACGGGAGGCAGCAUG
This 256-nucleotide ribosomal RNA is filed under the name uncultured bacterium. Its description in RNAcentral is "partial 16S ribosomal RNA". It matches the Rfam family "Bacterial small subunit ribosomal RNA", at positions 100 to 353 of the family's 1533-position model. The record is from RNAcentral.